UGAACCCGUAAAGCAGUCGGAUCAUGCUCUCUUGUGUGCCAUCGCUAAUCAACCUAUUACGGUGGGUUUGGAUGCAACACCACUUCAAUUUUAUCAGGGCGGGAUUAUUGAUGGUGAAAGUUGCCCCAUGGGAACUCAACCAAAUCAUGCAGUUUUGAUCGUGGGAUAUGACUCAAAAGAUGGCAAAGAUUAUUGGAUUGUAAAGAACUCAUGGGGAGAAGAUUGGGGAAUGAACGGAUACUUCUUGAUUCAAAGGAAUUCAAAAGCACCAAAUGGAGUUUGCUCUAUUAAUACUGCCGCUUCAUACCCAACCAUAUAGACUAGUACCACUAAGUUGCCGUCAAUUUCUGAUUUGGCGUUGUUAUGAACUCUAAGUAUGUCUACCCUAAAUUUUAAAUAAAGAGUCAGAAACUAUUGGUUAUAAUAUAUUUAUGUAUUGACCAUCAGAAUCCUACUCAGAUUUAUCAAUUUUACUUUU
Molecule: long non-coding RNA, 478 nt
Organism: Neltuma alba
Lineage: Eukaryota; Viridiplantae; Streptophyta; Magnoliopsida; Fabales; Fabaceae
Exons: 2
Source: RefSeq, a predicted model, not a curated record